This 459-nucleotide ribosomal RNA is filed under the name uncultured bacterium. RNAcentral's name for it is "partial 16S ribosomal RNA". It matches the Rfam family "Bacterial small subunit ribosomal RNA", at positions 339 to 795 of the family's 1533-position model. The record is from RNAcentral.
CUACGGGCUGCUGCAGUGAGGAAUAUUGCGCAAUGGGCGAAAGCCUGACGCAGCAACGCCGCGUGAGCGAUGAAGCCCUUCGGGGUGUAAAGCUCUGUUAGAGGGGAUGAACAAUCAGCCAUCCGGCUGACUUGACAGUACCCUCAGAGGAAGCACCGGCUAACUCCGUGCCAGCAGCCGCGGUAAUACGGAGGGUGCAAGCGUUGUCCGGAUUCAUUGGGCGUAAAGGGUGUGUAGGCGGAAUGGUAAGUCGGAAGUGAAAUCUGUAUCGCUUAACGAACAGUCUGCUUUCGAUACUGCCAGUCUAGAGUGCAGGAGAGGGUGAUGGAAUUCCUGGUGUAGCGGUGGAAUGCGUAGAUAUCAGGAAGAACACCGGUGGCGAAGGCGGUCACCUGGCCUGUCACUGACGCUGAGACACGAAAGCGUGGGGAGCAAACAGGAUUAGAUACCCUAGUAGUC